Molecule: long non-coding RNA, 1276 nt
Organism: Pezoporus occidentalis (night parrot)
Lineage: Eukaryota; Metazoa; Chordata; Aves; Psittaciformes; Psittacidae
Exons: 2
Source: RefSeq, a predicted model, not a curated record
AUGGGAUUUUGCAGCAGGCCUUGGCUUACAAAUACAUGAAGCCCCUCUUCAGAGAGCUCUCCUGUAGCACAAGUUACCUUGUAGGGAUAUGGCCUAAAAUUCAAGGUGGAUGCUGUGUUUGACUUGUUUAGACAGGGUUUUUUGCUAUUAUAAUGCAGUGUUCUUGUGCAAAUACUACUUCAUUUGAUGUUUUGAGAAGUACAUAAAGUGGUGCUUUCUAGAACUGGUGCUGUGGUGGGUUGACCCUGGUUCGGUACCAGGUGCCCAGUAAAGCUGCUCUAUCACUCUCUCCCUCAGCUGGACAGGGGCAAGAAAUAAAAUAUGAAGCUUGUAGGUGAAGAUAAGGAUGGGGAGAGAUCACUCGCUACCACCGUCACAGGCAAAGCAGACUCAACUUGGGGAAAAAUGAAUUUAAUUUAUAGAAUCAUAGAAUAGAAAAACACCUUCCCUUCUUCUUGGCCUUAACUUUAUUCCUGAUUUUCUCUGUCUCCUCCCCCAGUGUGGAGCAGGGGCUCGGGGAAGGGGGGUUGCUGUCAGUUCAUCCCAUUGGCUCUGCCACUUCCUCCUCCUCAGGGAGAACUUCUCAUAUUCUUUCCCUGCUCUGGUGUGGGUUCCCUCCUACAGGAGAUAGCUCUCCAUGAACUUCUCCAGUGUGAGUCCUCCCCAUGAACUGCUCCAGUGUGGGUCUCUUCUGUGGUCCUGCCAGGAAGCUGCUCCAGGAUGCGCUUCCCAUGGGAUCACAGCCCCCUUUUGGCAUCCACCUGCUCUGGUGUGGGGUCCUCUAUGGGCUGCAGGUGGAUAUCUGCUCCACCGUGGACCUCCAUGGCUGCAGGGCAUCAGCCUGUCCCACCAUGGUCUUCACCACAGAUGCCAACCUUGGUACCUGGAGAGUUGUUUCUCUCACAUAUUCUCACUACAUUCUCUGGCUGCAUGUUGUGCAGGUUUUUUUCCUCUUCUUAAACACGUUAUCCCAGAGGAGGUACUACUGUGACUGAUGGGCUCAGCUUUGGCCAACAGUGGGUCUGUCUUGGGACCAUCUGGCAUUGGCUCUAUUGGACAUAAAGGAUGCUUCUAGCACCUUCUCACAGAAGCCACCCUCUGUAGCCCUCCCACUACAAAAACCUUGCCAUGCAAACGCAGUAGAGGUGGCAUUGUAAAGGCACAGUAUUCAAGCAUUCCUGCCCUUAGAGCUACCUGCAGUGCAUAGCUUGUGUUAGCUAGGCUGAAGCUCCAUAUACAAAGCUAAUGGAAAAUAAAAUGCUACUUCAAAUUAAAA